Molecule: ribosomal RNA, 201 nt
Filed under: uncultured bacterium
Lineage: Bacteria
Description: partial 16S ribosomal RNA
Rfam family: Bacterial small subunit ribosomal RNA
Source: RNAcentral
GCAGUCUGCAACUCGAGUGCAUGAAGCUGGAAUUGCUAGUAAUCGCGGAUCAGAAUGCCGCGGUGAAUACGUUCCCGGGUCUUGUACACACCGCCCGUCACACCAUGGGAGUCGGGAAUGCCCGAAGCCGGUGGCCCAAUCGAGAGAAGGGAGCCGUCGAAGGCAGGCCGGAUGACUGGGGUGAAGUCGUAACAAGGUAAC